UGGCGAACGGGUGAGUAACACGUGGGUGAUCUGCCUUGCACUCUGGGAUAGGCUUGGGAAACUGGGUCUAAUACCGGAUAGGAACCGUCUUUAGUGUGGUGGUUGGAAAGUUUUUUCGGUGCAAGAUGAGCUCGCGGCCUAUCAGCUUGUUGGUGGGGUAAUGGCCUACCAAGGCGUCGACGGGUAGCCGGCCUGAGAGGGUGUACGGCCACAUUGGGACUGAGAUACGGCCCAG
Molecule: ribosomal RNA, 235 nt
Filed under: uncultured Actinomycetales bacterium
Lineage: Bacteria; Bacillati; Actinomycetota; Actinomycetes; Actinomycetales
Description: partial 16S ribosomal RNA
Rfam family: Bacterial small subunit ribosomal RNA
Source: RNAcentral